GACGAACGCUGGCGGCGUGCUUAACACAUGCGAGUCGAACGGAAAGGCCCUGCUUUUGUGGGGUGCUCGAGUGGCGAACGGGUGAGUAACACGUGAGUAACCUGCCCUUGACUUUGGGAUAACUUCAGGAAACUGGGGCUAAUACCGGAUAGGAGCUCCUGCUGCAUGGUGGGGGUUGGAAAGUUUCGGCGGUUGGGGAUGGACUCGCGGCUUAUCAGCUUGUUGGUGGGGUAGUGGCUUACCAAGGCUUUGACGGGUAGCCGGCCUGAGAGGGUGACCGGCAACGUCGGGGCUGGGCGCGCGCGCAGAGUGCGCGGUGGGGAAGGAGGGGGGUAGAUGCGCCAGUGGGCGGAGGCCGGGUGCAGCAGCGGGGGGUUGGGGGGGACGGCUUGGGGGUUGUAACCCCGUCUGGGGUGUGACGAAGGGGGAUUGAGGGUAAGGGGAAAGAAAGCCCCGGAAAACGCGGUGCCGGCAGCCGGGGAAUAAUCGGACGAGCACACGUCUGAAC
RNAcentral lists this ribosomal RNA (508 nucleotides) under uncultured bacterium. RNAcentral describes it as "partial 16S ribosomal RNA". It matches the Rfam family "Bacterial small subunit ribosomal RNA", at positions 33 to 541 of the family's 1533-position model. The record is from RNAcentral.